GAAGGAUAAGCAAAACAUUAAGCAGCCAUGAUAGGUUACCGGAAUACAAGCACUAUAAAAAGCAAAUCCCACAGGAACAAUAACCUACAAUUUAAAUUCUUCAUUUGUAACAUGUAAUCUUUUUUGGGAGUUUUGCAUUUUGUGCAUCAUAUAGCAUAUUUGUUACCCCUACACAGAGUACUUAUUCUACAGAAGCACAAUGGCCAAAGCAGGAUGCCAUAGCUCUCAUCAGUCCACCUAAUGAUUGAUUAAAUGAAACUAUAAAUACAAAAUGAAAGUCCACAUCGAUCCCCACUGUACCAGAUUUCUCUAUACUUCUCUUUUUUUUUUAUA
Molecule: unclassified non-coding RNA, 333 nt
Filed under: Hevea brasiliensis (rubber tree)
Lineage: Eukaryota; Viridiplantae; Streptophyta; Magnoliopsida; Malpighiales; Euphorbiaceae
Source: RNAcentral